AUUGAACGCUGGCGGCAUGCCUAACACAUGCAAGUCGAACGGCAGCACAGUAAAGAUUUCGGUCUUUAUGGGUGGCGAGUGGCGGACGGGUGAGUAAUGCGUAGGAAUCUGUCCUGGAGAGUAGGAUAACCCGAGGAAACUCGGGCUAAUACUGCAUGAUAUCGAGAGAUCAAAGGCAGGGGACCCUUCGGGGCCUUGCGCUCUAGGAUGAGCCUACGUCGGAUUAGCUAGUUGGUGGGGUAAAGGCCUACCAAGGCGACGAUCCGUAGCUGGUCUGAGAGGAUGGCCAGCCACACUGGGACUGAGACACGGCCCAGACUCCUACGGGAGGCAGCAGUGGGGAAUCUUGGACAAUGGGGGAAACCCUGAUCCAGCGAUGCCGCGUGUGUGAAGAAGGCCUUCGGGUUGUAAAGCACUUUAGUUGGGGAAGAAAAGUAAUGAGUGAAUAACUGAUUGCUCUGACGGUACCCAAAGAGUAAGCACCGGCUAACUCUGUGCCAGCAGCCGCCGUAA
This 513-nucleotide ribosomal RNA is filed under the name uncultured bacterium. RNAcentral describes it as "partial 16S ribosomal RNA". It matches the Rfam family "Bacterial small subunit ribosomal RNA", at positions 30 to 523 of the family's 1533-position model. The record is from RNAcentral.